This is a long non-coding RNA of Stegodyphus dumicola, 1366 nucleotides long. RefSeq lists it as uncharacterized. The record is from RefSeq and is a predicted model, not a curated record. Lineage: Eukaryota; Metazoa; Arthropoda; Arachnida; Araneae; Eresidae.
UUUAUUUGCUUUGUUACAGAAGAAAUAUCUUUCGAAUUUCUGCAUGCCAUCUUACGAGAUUUAAACUGAUGAUCUAUAAUCCGGAAUUGCCGAAGUCCCGACGAGUCCGGAUUAACGACUUUUGACUGUAGAAGCAAAGCUAUGAUGGACCUUUUAAGCUUGGUGAAUGCUGUACAAAGCUUCAGGGUUGAUGGGAAUUACUGGAGUUCCAACGUCACUGAGUUUCUUUGAGAUCCGCUUCUGAAGCUAGUAGUUUGCUGAGUUCCGUUGCCACUCCUCAGCCAACUUGAUGUUUGAAGGCCAAUAAAGAGAUUUCGUCAACAUUAUGACUCUGAAGUUAAUGGUGUUCUACACAGAGGUAAUCAGAAGUCAUCCAAGUCCACUAUUAUUAAACAAUGGAAUAUGCAUGGUUUUUGGUUCGUCGAGCCAGAGCUUCAGGAAGAUUGGCCUUUGGUACCAGCUUCAAGUGAUUGCAACACAUUGAUUGAGGCCAUUACACAAGGACACUUCUUAACAGGAGCAGCUUUAAGCACUCUUCCAGAACCUAACCAAAUUCAAGAAACCAUAAGUUCCAGUGAUCGUUGGAGAAACUUGCAAAGGCUAUUUCAACACUUCUGGAAGUGAUGGAGUAGUGAGUAUUUAUCUAGGUUGCAGCAAGAUCUGAAAGUUGGUGAUAAAAUCCUUAUUAAGAACAAGAAUCUAUCUCUGCUAUGUUGGACAUUAGGUAGAAUUGUUAAAGUGUAUCCUGGUCUGGACGACAGGGCUUGAGUGAUGAGUUUAUGCAUUUCCUAUGGCAAAAUAAAGAGACCUAUAGCAAAGCAUGUCUUUAUCAUUCAAUUCAUGAUAUUAGAAACUAUAAUUUUUUUAUUUUUCAGGCCUAUUCAGUUUGAUAAUUUACAGUUUAUUGUUUGAACCCCCUUGGGAUUUCAAGGCUGGGGAUAUGUUUGAUGUUAUGCAAACUGUAUUUCUUGUCAUUGAACUGAGGAGCGGCGCAGAUGCAAAUUUGUCAGGCUUUUUAAGCGUGCAUUUGGAGUUUCAAGAUUGCUGGAAUUACUAGAGUUCCAACAUCGCUGAGUUUCUUUGAGAUCCACUUCUGAAGCUAGAGGUUUGCCAAGUUGUGUUGCCAUUCCUCAGCCAACUUGAUGUUUGAAGGCCAAUAAAGAGAUUUGGUCAACAUUAUGACUCUGAAGUUAUUGGAGUUUUACAGUGAGGUAAUUGCAAAUGACCUCACAAUUCACAGUUAUUAAACAAUAAAAUAUACACAGUACAUCAUCUCCAUAUUAGAAUCCUUGAAACCAAAAACAAUAUAUCAAUAUAUCUUCUACUAUGCAUUAAAAUUCUAUGGCAAGUCACAGCUGCAGUACUG